GGGGGGGGCGAGCGUUGUUCGGAAUUACUGGGCGUAAAGGGCGCGUAGGCGGUACGAGAAGUUUCGGGUGAAAGCCCCGGGCUCAACCCGGGAAGGUCCCGGAAAACCAUCGUACUGGAGUGCUGGAGGGGCAAGCGGAAUUUCUGGUGUAGCGGUGAAAUGCGUAGAUAUCAGAAGGAACAUCAGAGGCGAAGGCGGCUUGCUGGACAGCAACUGACGCUGAGGCGCGAAAGCCAGGGGAGCAAACGGGAUUAGAUACCCCGGUAGUCCUGGCCGUAAACGAUGGGUACUUGGUGUUGGCAGCGUGUAGGCUGUCAGUGCCGGCGAAAACUCGUUAAGUACCCCGCCUGGGGAGUACGAUCGCAAGAUUG
This 371-nucleotide ribosomal RNA is filed under the name uncultured organism. RNAcentral's name for it is "partial 16S ribosomal RNA". It matches the Rfam family "Bacterial small subunit ribosomal RNA", at positions 527 to 896 of the family's 1533-position model. The record is from RNAcentral.